This 497-nucleotide ribosomal RNA is filed under the name uncultured bacterium. RNAcentral's name for it is "partial 16S ribosomal RNA". It matches the Rfam family "Bacterial small subunit ribosomal RNA", at positions 28 to 507 of the family's 1533-position model. The record is from RNAcentral.
GAUGAACGCUGGCGGCGUGCCUAAUACAUGCAAGUCGAGCGAACGGACGAGAAGCUUGCUUGUCUGACGUUAGCGGCGGACGGGUGAGUAACACGUGGAUAACCUACCUAUAAGACUGGGAUAACUUCGGGAAACCGGAGCUAAUACCGGAUAAUAUCUUGAACCGCAUGGUUCAAUAGUGAAAGACGGUCUUGCUGUCACUUAUAGAUGGAUCCGCGCUGCAUUAGCUAGUUGGUAAGGUAACGGCUUACCAAGGCAACGAUGCAUAGCCGACCUGAGAGGGUGAUCGGCCACACUGGAACUGAGACACGGUCCAGACUCCUACGGGAGGCAGCAGUAGGGAAUCGGCCGCAAAGGGGGAAAGCCUGACGGAGCAACGCGGCGUGAGUGAUGAAGGUCUUCGGAUCGUAAAACUCUGUUAUUAGGGAAGAACAUAUGUGGAAGUAACUGUGCACAGCUUGACGGUACCUAAUCAGAAAGCCACGGCUAACUACGUG